UUACGGCCAUAUUACGACGAAACACAGGUUCCCAUACGAUCACUGAAGAUAAGCAACGUCAAGCCUGGUCAGUACCUAGAUGGAUGACCGUUUCGGAAUAGUAGGUGCUGUAAG
Acanthosepion pharaonis is the source of this 114-nucleotide non-coding RNA. NCBI's taxonomy places the organism in Eukaryota, Metazoa, Mollusca, Cephalopoda, Sepiida, Sepiidae. The record is from the annotation of a GenBank genome assembly.